UACGAACUGUGCGAACGUUAUUCGGAAUCACUGGGCUUAAAGGGUGCGUAGGCGGUUUGUUAAGUCAGGUGUGAAAUCCCCCGGCUCAACCGGGGAACAGCGCUUGAAACUAGCAGGCUUGAGUGAGGUAGGGGAUCACGGAACUUCCGGUGGAGCGGUGAAAUGUGUAGAUAUCGGAAGGAACGCCGGUGGCGAAAGCGGUGAUCUGGGCCUUGUCUGACGCUGAGGCACGAAAGCUAGGGGAGUGAACGGG
Molecule: ribosomal RNA, 253 nt
Filed under: uncultured bacterium
Lineage: Bacteria
Description: partial 16S ribosomal RNA
Rfam family: Bacterial small subunit ribosomal RNA
Source: RNAcentral